Non-coding RNA from Myotis lucifugus (little brown bat), 76 nucleotides. NCBI's taxonomy places the organism in Eukaryota, Metazoa, Chordata, Mammalia, Chiroptera, Vespertilionidae. The record is from Rfam.
GGCAGUUCUUGGGUGACGUACCCCGGAAUUGGGCUCUCUCCUCUCUGGUUCCUGGGUGUGUCACCAGAGAACUAUA